GAUGAACGCUAGCGGGAGGCUUAACACAUGCAAGUCGAGGGGCAGCAUAAUGUAGCAAUACGUUGAUGGCGACCGGCGCACGGGUGAGUAACGCGUAUGUAACCUACCCUGUACAGGGGGAUAGCCCGGAGAAAUUCGGAUUAAUACCCCAUAAAGAUAUUUAGAGGCAUCUUUAGAUAUUUAAAGUUUCGACGGUACGGGAUGGGCAUGCGUGACAUUAGCUAGUUGGUAAGGUAACGGCUUACCAAGGCUACGAUGUCUAGGGGUCCUGAGAGGGUGAUCCCCCACACUGGUACUGAGACACGGACCAGACUCCUACGGGUGGCAG
RNAcentral lists this ribosomal RNA (328 nucleotides) under uncultured Bacteroidota bacterium. RNAcentral describes it as "bacterial SSU rRNA". It matches the Rfam family "Bacterial small subunit ribosomal RNA", at positions 28 to 351 of the family's 1533-position model. The record is from RNAcentral. Lineage: Bacteria; Pseudomonadati; Bacteroidota.